CUACGGGAGGCAGCAGUAAGGAAUAUUGGUCAAUGGGCGAAAGCCUGAACCAGCCACGCCGCGUGAAGGAUGAAGGCCCUAUGGGUUGUAAACUUCUUUUCUACGGGAAUAAACCUCGGGACGUGUCCCGAGCUGAAGGUAUCGUAGGAAUAAGCAUCGGCUAACUCCGUGCCAGCAGCCGCGGUAAUACGGAGGAUGCAAGCGUUAUCCGGAUUCAUUGGGUUUAAAGGGUGCGUAGGUGGAAUUGUAAGUCAGAGGUGAAAUCCAGCAGCUUAACUGUUGAAUUGCCUUUGAUACUGCUAUUCUUGAGUAUAGUUGGAGUUGGCGGAAUGUGACAUGUAGCGGUGAAAUGCGUAGAUAUGUCACAGAACACCGAUCGCGAAGGCAGCUAACUAAGCUAUCACUGACACUGAUGCACGAAAGCGUGGGGAGCAAACAGGAUUAGAUACCCUAGUAGUCC
RNAcentral lists this ribosomal RNA (460 nucleotides) under uncultured bacterium. Its description in RNAcentral is "bacterial SSU rRNA". It matches the Rfam family "Bacterial small subunit ribosomal RNA", at positions 339 to 796 of the family's 1533-position model. The record is from RNAcentral.